Long non-coding RNA from Corticium candelabrum, 449 nucleotides. RefSeq lists it as uncharacterized. Lineage: Eukaryota; Metazoa; Porifera; Homoscleromorpha; Homosclerophorida; Plakinidae. The record is from RefSeq and is a predicted model, not a curated record. The transcript has 4 exons.
AAAUUUUAGGUUUUCGAUGAUGUGAAAGUAAGAAGGAAAGUGCUGUCUCUCAAAGUCAAGUGUACUAAUAAGUCAUCACAUUCUGUAAAUGUUUGUGAAUGGAUAGGGGAACUGAAUUACUUACAGAAUCAUCAUAACGAGUGCAAGUUUCAGAUAGUUGGAUGUCCCAGAGAUUGUGGCAACAACAUGCAACGAUGUGAGCUUUCGCAGCAUCAGCUAUUUACAUGUCCUCGACUUCCUAUUACUUGUGGCAGCUGCGAGGAAAUAUUCGAAAUGCGUAAUAUGGAGCGUCAUAAGAUGUCGUGUCCAAAAUUGCCUAUCAAUUGCACGUUGAAAUGUGGAAAGAAAGUGGAAAGAAGAAACAUAAAAGAUCACGUUUCUGAGUUAGGUGAUUGUCCCAACACGAUAAUGCCUUGCAUCUUCAAGGACGUGGGCUGCGACGUUACAGU